AAUCAACGCUGGCGGCGUGCCUCAGACAUGCAAGUCGAACGAUUAAAGCUCUCUUCGGAGAGUGUAUAGAGUGGCGCACGGGUGAGUAACACGUAAGUAAUCUACCCUCGAGUGGGGAAUAACAACCGGAAACGGUUGCUAAUACCGCAUAAUGCAGCGGCACCGCAAGGUGACAGUUGUUAAAGAUUUAUCGCUUGAGGAGGAGCUUGCGGCAGAUUAGCUAGUUGGUAGGGUAACGGCUUACCAAGGCUACGAUCUGUAACCGGUCUAAGAGGACGGUCGGUCACACUGACACUGAAUAACGGGUCAGACUCCUACGGGAGGCAGCAGUCGGGAAUUUUGGGCAAUGGGCGAAAGCCUGACCCAGCAACGCCGCGUGAAGGAUGAAGUAUUUCGGUAUGUAAACUUCGAAAGAAUAGGAAGAAUUAAUGACGGUACUAUUUAUAAGGUCCGGCUAACUACGUGCCAGCAGCUGCGGUAAAGUAUCGUACG
This 492-nucleotide ribosomal RNA is filed under the name uncultured bacterium. RNAcentral describes it as "bacterial SSU rRNA". It matches the Rfam family "Bacterial small subunit ribosomal RNA", at positions 32 to 531 of the family's 1533-position model. The record is from RNAcentral.